RNAcentral lists this long non-coding RNA (2148 nucleotides) under Pan troglodytes (chimpanzee). Its description in RNAcentral is "long non-coding RNA NONPTRT004469". The record is from RNAcentral. Lineage: Eukaryota; Metazoa; Chordata; Mammalia; Primates; Hominidae.
CCUGUAAUCCCAACACUUUGGGAGGCCAAAGUGGGUGGAUCACUUGAGGUCAGGAGUUCGAGACCAGCCUGGCCAACAUGGUGAAACCACGUCUCUAGUGAAAAUACAAACAAAUCAACUGGCCAUGGUGGUAUACACCGGUAAUCCCAGCUACUUGGGAGGCUAAGGCAGGAGAAUUACAUGAACCCGGGAGGCAGAGGUUGCAGUAAGCCAAGAUUGCACCAUUGCUCUCCAGCCUGGGCAACAAAAGCAAAACUCCAUCUCAAAGAAAAAAAAAAGGCAGGAAGAAAGGGAAAGGUGUAAGUGUUUUUGGCUGCUUGUGUGCAUGUGUGUGCAUUUGUGUAAUAAAAAAUGAAAUGUUUUCCUAAAGCCUACCAGCCAAUUUCUCCAUACAUCUUCCUGACCAGGAGAAUAAAUUAUGCUACUUGUAGCAAGAAGAAAGUGGGAAAGGUGUUGGGUGAGCGAAAACGUCUGUCACACUUCCUUCCCAGACAUUCCAUAGCAGAAGAUUAUCUUUUCAGAAGACAAUGCUGUCUUCCAAGAUCUUUGUCUCAGUAUCUGUUAACAGUAUGUGUGUGCGUCUCUGUGUGUGCACAUGCGUGUGGUUGUGUCUUGGGUGCUCAUAGUUUUGUUACUGGUGUAGCAUAUUCAAGUCAGAAAUUAAGAAAUCAGAAGGAAUGCUGCAGUAGUCAUUCUCGGCUGCUAUCUUGCACAUGGGACAGGGCAAGACAGUGUGAGGCUCCACAUAAAUUAGGAAGAAUGCAGGCUGAAGAUUUAGAUCUGGAUUCUAGCCCCCAGCUCUGCUACUUUCCAUCUGUGUUGCCUGGGUUAAGUUAUUUAAUCUUUUUGUUAUUAUUAAUUAGAUACAGGGUCGGGCUCUGUUGCCCAGGCUGGAGUACAGUGGUGCAAUCAUAGCUCACUGCAGGCUCAAAUUCCUGGGCUCAAACAGUCCUCCUGCCUCAGCCUCCCAAGUAGCUAGGGCUAGGGCUACAGGCACAUGCCACCACACCUCGCUAAUUUAAAUAUUUUUUUUGUAGAGAUUGGGGGGGGUCUGUCUGUUUUGCUCAGGCUGGUCUUGAACUCCUGGCUUCAAACAAUCCUCCUGCCUUGGCCUCCCAGAGGGCUGGGAUUACAGACAUUUGCCACUGUGCUUGGCCAUUACUUAGACUUUCUAAGCCUCAAUUUUCUAAUCUGUAAAGCAAGAAGUUUGCACUAGGUAAUGUCUAAAGCUCUAAUAUUCUAUAAUAUAUAUAUAUUUUUGAGAUGGAGUCUCACUCUGUCACCCAGGCUGGAGUGCAGUGGCAUGAUCUCAGCUCACUGCAGCCUCUGCCUCCCAAACUCAGUCUCCUGCCUCCCAAGCUCAGCCUCCUGCUUCAGCCUCCUGGGUAGCUGGAACUAUAGGCAUGCACCACCACGCCCAGCUAAUUUUUGUAUUUUUAGUAGAGAUAGUGUUUCACCAUGUUGGCCAGGCCGGUCUCGAACUCCUGGCCUCAAGUGAUCUGUCUGCCAGCCUCUCAAAGGGUUGGGAUUACAGGCAUGAGUGCCCAGCCAGUCUAUCACAUUAUUAAACCCAAAAAACCCUGCUCAAAUGCAUCUGCAUGCCAUAUGAAUGAGGGAGGUCAACAUUUUUUCUUGUAUAAGAGGAAUAAAACAUACUAUAACAAUUAGAUACAGAAUGUAAUGUAAGCAGAUUAUGGGCUCUUUUGAAAUGUCUUUAUUUUCAUUACAAACUGUACUUUGAAUGAUUAUGCGUUAAGUGGCUUGUGUUUUACAUUUACAGCACAGCUCACCUUUCAGAAUUUUCCUGCUAUUUCUGUUUUCUAUUUUAUUGGCAAUGCGUUUCUUUAUAACUGAGUGAAGAAUGUGGCAAGGCUGGGGAAAAUGUUUCUGCCUGUCUCUUUUUGCUCUCUCUCCCCCUCUGAACGGAAAUAGUAUCGUGGCAGUGCAUCUCUUUGUCUCUUAGGAAAAAAAAAAAAGCCAGGAAAAGGAAAUAACAGUGGGUGAUCUACUUUCCGAACAGCGUGAGAAAGAUCCAGAGAAUGUUAGUUUUGCACUGAAGCCGCUUCAACUUCUACUUUUCCAAUAUUACAGGAAGUUUCCUAGCAUUGAGAGGAAAAAGAAACAGUGGCCAGAUACUUUCUCCUAAAA